CUCAACCGACGGAGCCCCCCCAGGCGCCCCCGUACUCAGAGCUUUCCACUCGGAGCCAAGAGUUUAAAAAUGUUUGUGGGCUGGAGAAUUUUCCUACAAAUGGGGCUGUUCACUUUCAGUUUUAAUAAAUAGUAAUUAGGGGAGCCACCUAUGUCCUGUCUACUUGGGAUUGUGGUUUUAGUUGUGCCCUUCCCUGUGACCGGGUAGAGUCCCUGAAUGAAUUCCCUGUGUGUCUUCCUACAUUUGCCGUACGAUGUUGAGUUGCCGUGUGCCCAGGCCCAUUGGAUUUUCAGUGGUGAAUAUAUCUCGUUGAAUUCCCUGCCCUGCCUUCCCUCAUGCUUUUGGCCUCGAUCUUAAUCUUGCCUGCCGUUAAUGAUGUCACGCCGCUGUGUGUGUUACUUGGAGUUUGCCUGGUAUAUUUCAGCUUGAUUUUUCGGAGUCUUUUUUUUCUUAAAAACUUUAUUUUGACGUAACUUGAAUCGACCUAGAGCCGGCACAACUGGUGCUGAGAGUUCCUGGGCACUCCUCUCCCAGCUUCGCCUAAUGAAAACAUCUUCCCUCCUCAGAGCACAGCCACCCAAGCAGGACGCUGGCAUCGGCACGAUAUCAGCAACGACCUUAUUCGAAUGCCGACUUAGAGUUUUUCCAAAGCCCCUGCUUUUAGGCACACUCAAGGCUAGGGGCACAGUCUUCCAGAUGGCAAAGUCUGCCCAAGCCUCCCGACACCCGCUACGCAGUCCGAGGGCCCCCCAAGCCGCCCUCAGGUUGGACAGUUCGCUGAAGAGACAGAACUCACCGAAACCUGUUGGAUUGUUGGUCAGGCUUGUUACGGGGGAGGAUACACAUCAGCGCCAGCCGCGGGGUGGACCGGCAGUGUUCCAAGAACAGAGUUCCUGGUCAUCCUCACUGAGCCCGACGGUGGGCUUGGGGACCCCUGCCAUCAGCCCUGUGAAACUUGAUCACGUGUAGAGAUUGACGUGACCCUGGCUACAGUCAGGAUCCAGAACUGUCCCAUUUGCCUCCCAAACUCCUUCCUGCUCUCCCUCUUCCAGUCCCGCCCUCCUAACGCUGACCCCUGACCACCUGUCAUCCACUCUGUCACCUUGUCACUUCGAGGAUGUUAGUAUAGUUGGAUUGCAGAGUGAUAUUAGUUGCAUGUGUACAAGACGGUGACUCAGCACUUCUGUACGUCACCCCGUGCGCCUCAUGCAAGGUGUUGCCAUGCGGUCUCCAGAGCUCAGCCGGAGAGGUUGGGGUGGACGCGGGCCCGGGCCCAGGCUUCCUGCCGGUUUCCCAAGAAGCAGAUCAGAGAGCCCAGAGGUGAGGGGCGAGGACCCAGGAGCCAAGGACGAGGACUUCCCGUCCCGGGAGGGACGGAUGUCCGUGCAGCUCCACGGGACCACCCCGUCCUUCCAGGGGGCUCAGGGCUGGGGUGGCGGUGCGCUACCCCCUCCGGCAGGAACAGGACCCUCCCCCCAUCCAUCCUGAGGGCAGACACCCCCACCCCGGCCUCGUGCUCCGAGCAGUCGUGGCCAGCACCUCAGACCCGACAGUGUCCUGACCUGUGGCCAUGACCUACGCCGGCCUCCCCACCUGCUGGCUCCCACCACCAGGUGACAUUGCCUCCUGGGACAGGACAGGGCUAUAGCUGCAUCCACUGAGUGUCACGGACAGAGGACGCACACCCUCCCUGGUGCUGCUGUAGGGACCUGAGGCAGGUCUCCUCCCGGGCCUGGCCUGGAGCCAAGGUGGAGCAUAGGCUGGACACGGGCGGCCACACCACCUUCCCGGGCAGAAGAUAAAGAGGGUCCCGCUGAUGAUGACAGCAGCCGACAGGAGGAUUUUCAGGAUCAGGGCUUUGCUGAGAAUCGUGUCCUUGACGUUCCGCGGUGGCUGUCGGAGGGCGUCUUUGUCAACCGGCUCUACCCCCAAGCUGCUCGCAACAAGACAGGGGAGGGAACCUUGACAUAAACCACGGGGACACUUAAAGUGCGGAGGCUGUACAGGCUCUCAGGUCAGCCCCGAAGACACAGCAACGAGGGGGCUUUGGCCAAGUGCCCCCAGGUCGUGGGCAGGAGCUCGGUCUGGUCCCACUCUUAGGGGGACUUCUCCGUCCUUGCCGGAAGCCGGCCCCUCACAUCCUCGGCCCUCGCCCUAACUCCUUCCAGGGUCCCCGGGCCCCAGGGGCAGCCACACACCCGUCCCUGAGCACGGCGGAGGAAAACCACCACCCCAGCCGACCACACCACCGUCCUGGAGCCACUCUGGGUCAUCCCUCAUGAUCGCACAGCUUCCAUCCCAAGGGGACGCCCAGCAGGCUGGAGAAACGGGGUCCAGACGCCGCCCCCCCCCAGGGACCCGCCUCCAGCCGACUGCGCAACAGCGGAACUGGGGUUAGACCAGGGGAAGACGGGACACGGGGCACCGAGGAGGAAGCCGGCUGCAGAGACGGCUGCGGCCAGCUUGCCUCCUGGCCCUGCGCCCAGCGUGUGAAGAGGGACCUGCCCCUGGGCCCGGAGGGACAAAGCGGGACUCCUGCCCUCAGCGGCGACAACUGUGAGAAUUCAUGGUAACAUAUGUAUCACAUUUAUAUCACACACACAUAUAUAAUCUACAAGAAGAUGUACUGUGUGCUCGAACUCAGUGCCUCGCUUGCUCCUGGGCGUCUGGCUCCCCGACUCUGAAGGUGAUUCUUCCUCCUGCCCGUUCAGCUACCCUCACCCUCCCUUCUCACCCAUCCACCCAGCAACUGACUCGCCGACCCCCUACUGUGUGCCCAGCACCGUCCCGGGAGCCGGGAGAUGCUACAAGGCACAAAAACCUUGCCAUAGGGGCAACGGGUCAUCAUCAGAUAAACAAGGACAUACGUAUUUUCUCCUCUAGGGACAAAUAAAGCAGGGUAAGGAGGGAGAGCCCGGGGGCUGCUGUUAGAGCGAUCACGGAGGACAUCUCCGAAGUGGGGACGUGAAGAGAGGGACUGAGGCGUGGAGUCACCCAGGGAGCACAUCCCUCCCUCCGCCACCGGCCCCGGCUGCCCAUGCAGGUGCUUCCUCCCAUGCUCAGGGCAUGCCGCUGGCUGUCUUCCCCACAGUGUGCCACACUCCGGCUUGGCAGGACUCCCGGGGACGGUGUCCCGUACUCGGUGCAAGGGACCCGAGGCGGCAGCGUGGGCGGGCGGCGGAGCCUCGCGGACAGCCUGGCGCCUCACCUCUGCGCCGGCGGCCCGUCCAUGAUGAUGUUGAUCCACAGGAUCUGCAUGGCGUUGAGCGGGCUGGGCAGGUCGCACACGGUGGACAGAGCGAUGAGGCUCAAGGCCGAGAUGCUCCUGCGGGGCACACAGCGGGCACCGUCGAUGGCUGCACGCCGGACACACGCGCAGCCCGACGGCCCCCGGAGACGCCGGCCUUGACUUACGUGCUCAGCUGAAACCGCACGAAGUUUUUGAUGUUAUGAAAAAUCGCCUUGCCUUCCUCCACCGCGUUCCUGCAAGAGGACAGAGCGUUUCUUCGCCGAGGGCCCGCUGGGAGCGUUCGGGCACCUCCGGCAGCCGUGGGAGGGAGCGAUGGUGUCACCGGAGGUGGCCUCACACGCAGGCGCCCCUUCCCCUAACCCCCGCUGGCGGCUCCAGGACAGAGAGGUACAGGAGGACGGUGGCCUGGCCAGCACCACCCGCCGCGGGGGCCUGGGCCGCAGGCCAUGAUCACCCUCGGUACGAAGACCAUAGGUUAUCCUCCCGCCUGAGCCCAGGGACCCGGCCCUCACCCGGGACUUGGGAAGCACCGACUGCAACCCAGAGAUGCAUCUGGACGACAGGCAAAGCAAGACCGAUCAAACCUGCUAAUUCGCCCCAGGGGUGUGGCACGGCGGGGAGAGAAUUAGGAGGCUGAAAACUCAAUCCUUGGUAUGUUCAGAAAACCGUCAAAGUCCUUGAAAAACCUUGACCUUGAGUCACGAAUAUGCAGAAAACUGCCUGACCCUUUUUUUUCUGCUAAAAUUUUUUUUUUUUUUUGCAAAAGAGCUAAAAUUGCAGAGUUCUUUAUCAACUGCAUCUCAGGACUUUUUUUUUAACUACGGGGGAAGGGGGCUAAGGAUUCCUAGGGCGAGUCAAUCCAUUUACAAAGACAAGACUCCUCUGUAAAGUCAAAAAUCGCACCCAACUUCAGUGUUUGUUCAUUGAAGAGUUCUGACAGCAGGCUUAAGAAAACUUCCGUGCCACCCCCAAUAAUUACAAUGGAUUAUGAAUAAAGUCUCGAUUAGAACGAAUUAAAAUCAGAGCUAGAGGGAAGGCAAGCUUGUUAAGAAAACAGAGAAAAGGGAAACAAGAAACCAGGCGUCUUGCAAUCUCGGGAGCUUGCGAUCACACGAGGGCCAACAGUUGGAGCUCCUGCCCCGUCGCUGGUCGCUUUCAGCGCAUGAAACAUACGCGUCCGCACAAACACGGCCCUCCAGCCGCACAUGCUCACUCUUAGCGUUUUUCAGUUAACCCCACAAUGUGAGCAUUUCUCCGUCUUUCAAACAUUCCCCAAAACGUGAUGUUUCAUGGCUUCGUGGCACUCCUCCCCUUGCUGUCGGUAGUUAGGGUGGCCUAGGAUUUCCCCACAGACGGUGCUGCGGCCGACACAUCGGAGCCCGCCUCCGUCUAUGCACCUGACCCCGGCUCGCCCGUCGGAUGCACCCUCAGGCCGUGAGGGGGGCAUGUCCCGAGGGGGGCAGCGGGUCACCGCGGGCAUUUCUGCCGCUGAAAACCAGCCAUGGAGCCACUCACAUGAUGGCCGAGAAGUCAUCAUCCACCAGGAUCACGUUGGCAGCCUCUUUGCUGACAUCUGUCCCCGUCUGCCCCAUGGCGAUCCCGAUGUCCGCAGACUUGAGGGCGACCGCGUCGUUCACCCCGUCCCCCGUCAUGGCCACGACUGCCCCCGACUCCUGCAAAGCCUUUGGAAAGAGGAGAGAAGCUGCAUUUUUAACCGAUUCCCCGGGGGAUGCCGCUGGUCUGGGAAGCCGGCCUUGAGAACCACCGUUUCAGACCAAAAUCUCGGCAGGAGACGCCAAAUGAUCAAAGGAAUCUUUAACAUCAGCUAAGCCCAUCUAGGAAAAGCAAAUGCCACGCUUCUCGUGAGUCAUCCUGAGCCAGCCUCGCUGCAAAGCUCAGGCCGCCUCCGUUAUUCAUUCGUCAAACCAUUUCCGGCAGGGGCAGGGCCAGCUGGUCCUGGCGACUGCUUCUGGCCAAAACGUGCUCAGAAACAAAAGCCCGUGGGCUCCCCUCCAGGAGGAAUGUUCCAGACUCAAAGAGAAGGUUCCGUGUGCUUUCUUCACGAAGGAAAGGGGCUGGCAGGGCAGACCUUUGGCUGGAACCGGGUAAAUCGGCACGGGGCUCACCUCGGCGUGGAGCCCAUCAGACGUUACCAGCUGGGUGACCGUCAUUUCGUUGGCCGUCAGGGUCCCUGUCUUAUCGGAGCAGAUAACACUGCAGCAACCUGGCGCGAGAAAACCCCAGUUUAUGGCAAAGAGGAAUCAUCACCAUCACCUCUCAGGCUGAUGAAACACCCAGGCGGGACUCCCACCCAUCCGAUCCCGUUUGCAGGAAUUCAGCCAGCGGAGUCCCUCACCUAACGUCUCCACGAUCGGUAACUUCUUCACAAUGACCCGCUUCUUGGCCAUCCGCAGCACUCCCAGGACCAGCGUAACCGUGACGACGAUGGGCAGACCCUCCGGAAUGGCAGCCACCGCCAGGCUGGAUCAAAAGGCCAGAUGGGUCACCUUUAACACGCACUUAAGGACGACACGAAUCCCACCUGGGGUCGCCAACACUUUUACCCGGGGAAGUACGUCUCUGGUGUCCCCAGCGUCCCGGUUCUAGUCUCUGUUCCCAGUCCCAUGAUGCACCUGUCUCCUUCUUCAGCAUCCAUUGCUCUAAGCUCUCCUGUUGCGAAACCCUGUUCUUGGGGUGGGACCGUCCCUAUCAGACAUCCACACUUUAGUAUAAAUUAGUCUCUCGGUUGUUUUGCCUCUUUUGAAGCGCCUUUGCGUUUCAAUUGUUGUCAUUUACUAAAGAGAAAAGUCUUUGGGUCCUAUGAGAAGAAUUUCCAGAAUUGGGCGAGAAGCGGGAAGUGGAAUUUUUUGGUUCGGAGGGUCCGGCUGGGUCCUCGGAAUUUCACUUCUCAUUGGUCUAGUUGUUUAGACACUUCUGAUAAGAGAGCCAGACAAGGAAAUUAAAGCUGAAGGAUGUAGAGUGA
Molecule: long non-coding RNA, 6233 nt
Organism: Leopardus geoffroyi (Geoffroy's cat)
Lineage: Eukaryota; Metazoa; Chordata; Mammalia; Carnivora; Felidae
Exons: 11
Source: RefSeq, a predicted model, not a curated record